Molecule: ribosomal RNA, 314 nt
Filed under: uncultured bacterium
Lineage: Bacteria
Description: bacterial SSU rRNA
Rfam family: Bacterial small subunit ribosomal RNA
Source: RNAcentral
AUUGAACGCUGGCGGCAUGCCUUACACAUGCAAGUCGAGCGCCCCCGCAAGGGGAGCGGCGGACGGGUGAGUAACGCGUGGGAACAUACCCCUUUGGUACGGAAUAGCCUCGGGAAACUGGGGAGUAAUACCCGUAUGUGCCCCUUCGGGGGAAAGAUUUAUCGCCAAAGGAUUGGCCCGCGUUGGAUUAGGUAGUUGGUGGGGUAAUGGCCUACCAAGCCUACGAUCCGUAACUGGUCUGAGAGGAUGAUCAGUCACACCUGGAACUGAGACACGGUCCAGACUCCCUACGGGAGGCAGCAGUGGGGAAUAUU